AGAUUGAACGCUGGCGGCAGGCCUAACACAUGCAAGUCGAGCGGUAGAGAGGUGCUUGCAUCUCUUGAGAGCGGCGGACGGGUGAGUAAUGCCUAGGAAUCUGCCUAGUGGUGGGGGAUAACGUUCGGAAACGGACGCUAAUACCGCAUACGUCCUACGGGAGAAAGCGGGGGACCUUCGGGCCUCGCGCCAUUAGAUGAGCCUAGGUCGGAUUAGCUAGUUGGUGAGGUAAUGGCUCACCAAGGCGACGAUCCGUAACUGGUCUGAGAGGAUGAUCAGUCACACUGGAACUGAGACACGGUCCAGACUCCUACGGGAGGCAGCAGUGGGGAAUAUUGGACAAUGGGCGAAAGCCUGAUCCAGCCAUGCCGCGUGUGUGAAGAAGGUCUUCGGAUUGUAAAGCACUUUAAGUGGAGAAGGUUGUAACCUAAUACGUUGCAACUUUGACGUUACGACAGAAUAAGCACCGGCUAAACGUUCGCGCCAG
This 487-nucleotide ribosomal RNA is filed under the name uncultured soil bacterium. RNAcentral describes it as "bacterial SSU rRNA". It matches the Rfam family "Bacterial small subunit ribosomal RNA", at positions 26 to 511 of the family's 1533-position model. The record is from RNAcentral.